AUAAAAGCUAACCUUAUGCUGGUUGUGAACAUGCUUGGUUAAAUUUGACCAAGUAGAUUCAGCAGAUUUUUUUUGUUGUAAAAAUUGAUAACGACUUACGACGUCGACAGACCAAUAUGAUUUUUUUUAUAUUCAAAAAGUUACAGCGAGUGUUUCAAUUGAGUAUUAAUAAUAGCUGGAGAUGAAGCGUAUUACCCACAUCUCAUUACAUGCAUCUGUUUACAUACACAGUUUGUAAAAUCAAACAAUCUAUUGAAGGGAGA
Molecule: long non-coding RNA, 263 nt
Filed under: Mytilus galloprovincialis (Mediterranean mussel)
Lineage: Eukaryota; Metazoa; Mollusca; Bivalvia; Mytilida; Mytilidae
Source: RNAcentral